Molecule: ribosomal RNA, 433 nt
Filed under: uncultured bacterium
Lineage: Bacteria
Description: partial 16S ribosomal RNA
Rfam family: Bacterial small subunit ribosomal RNA
Source: RNAcentral
AGCGAACGCUGGCGGCAGGCCUAACACAUGCAAGUCGAACGAACGCUUCGGAGUUAGUGGCGGACGGGGGAGUAACACGUGGGAACGUGCCUGUAUGCUCGGAAUAACUCAGUGAAACUUGUGCUAAUACCGAAUGUGCCCUUCGGGGGAAAGAUUUAUCGCCUUUGGAGCGGCCCGCGUCUGUUUAGCUUGGUGGGGAGGUAAAGGCGCAUCAAGGCGACGAUCAGUAGCUGGUCAGAGAGGAAGAUCAGCGACACUGGGACUGAGACACGGUCGAAAAUCCUACGGGAGGCGGCAGUGGGGGAUCUUGCGAAACGGGGGAAAGCAUGACGCAGCCCUGGCGGGUAAAUGAUGAAGGUGUUAGGAUAGUAAAAUUCUUUCACCGGGGGCGAUAAUGACGGUACCCGGAGAAGAAGCCCCGGCUAACUUCGUG